This 3374-nucleotide long non-coding RNA is filed under the name Callithrix jacchus (white-tufted-ear marmoset). RNAcentral describes it as "lncRNA (ENSCJAG00000080854.1)". Lineage: Eukaryota; Metazoa; Chordata; Mammalia; Primates; Cebidae. The record is from RNAcentral.
AUGGGAAAAUAUCAGUCUGGAGCUACAGACACAUUUUGCCAGCAUGAGCUGAAAGAGUUCAGACCAAUUCAUCCCCAUGGGCAGAAUCAGGGACACCCUCCUGGACACCCAGAUCCUCUGGUACCACCCUCACCACUGCAAUCACCACGAAAAACUGCACCAGAAAUAGGUGGCCCUGCCCCUGAUGUUUUUGUGAUGAUAUCAACUUUGGCUUACCUCCUCCCUUCUUUCUUGAAAUUUGAGGUAGGUCAUGUUCAUUUCCACUUCCAGAGUACUUGCCUAAAAGAGGUAUUCAGUGAAUAAUUGUAUAAUGAAUAAAUAAAAGAAAGAAUGAAUGAAUGAACAUAUGAGUGUCUUCUAGUUGGUCAGGAGACUUUAAUAGAGUGAGAAAAGAGAGUUGUUUCUCCAGAGACCUACCUGCUAUGAGAUCUAAGUUAUACUAAAGUCCUCUCUGAGCUGACAAAGGAUUGUUAUUUUUAAAUCUCUCUUCACCCAGACCACAGCUGAACUGGCCACACCCAUGGGAUACAAACCAAUCUCCCGUUACAGAAAAACAAAUCUGACCCAGCCAUUCUCUGCUUAAAACAACUUUCAGUGAUGUUUUUGACAGGAGUGGGUGGAAGGGAGUGAGCAUUUGCAUUUAGAGAACAUUCCCUGUUAAAGAAUGUUCAUUUGCUUAUUGACUGACUCAUUAGGCAAGCAAUGAAUUAGCACCUACUAUGUGCGGGCACUACACGUUACUCCAUCCUCACAGCAACCUCUUUCUUAGGGCAAUGUAUUUGUUACCUGUUACUAUGUAACUCAUUACCCUAAACCCAGGGGCUAAAACAACAAACAUUUGUUAUCGCACAGGAAUCCAGGUGCAGUCAAGCCAGGGCCGCAGUCACGUCAAGGCUCCACUGGAGCAGAAGGAUCCAUUUCCAAAUGCAUUCACAGGGUUGUUGUGAGGCCUUAGCUCAAGCUUGUCCAGGCUGUGGUCUGCAGGCUGCCUGUAGCCCACGAUGGCUUUGAAUGAGUCUCAGGACGGUUUUGAAUCCGGCCCAACACAAAUUCUUAAACUUUCUUAAAACAUUAUGAGAUUUUUUUUGUGAUUUUUAUAUAUUUAUUAUUAUUAUUUUUAGCUCAUCAGCUAUUGUUCGUGUUAGUGUAUUUUAUGUGUGGCCCAAGACAAUUUUUUCUUCUUCCAGUGUGGCCCAGGGAAGCCAAAAGAUUGGAUAUCCCUGCCUUAGAAGAAUCACGUGCAAACUCACCCACAGGGGCUUUUCCUUAGGACUGCCUCACAGCAUGGAAGCCAGCUUCUCCAGGACGACUGAUCCAAGAGACAGCAAGAGAGUGUCCAAGACAGAAGUCACCAUCUCUUGGUAACCUCAUCUCAGAAGCAACAUGCUCAUCCCCUCUGCCACAUUUUGUGCAUUAGAAAUGAGUCAUUAAGUCCAGCCUACACUUGAAGGGAGGAAAUUACAUAAGGGUAUGAGUACCAAGAGGUGGGUUAAUUGGGGCAAUUUCAGAGGCUACCUGCCACAGGUAAGUUAUUAUUAUCCUUCAUUUCAUACCUAGACACCCAGCUAGUUAAGCAGCUGGUCCAGGUCACCCAGCAGAGAGUGAUCUGAGUCCAAAGUGGUUUUCUAUUCCCCAGGCUGGUAGGGGUGUGAGAUGGAGGAAGGCAGGGAGAAGUUACUUGCAGGAAAAAAAAAUUAGGAUGAUGUCUCUGUUAUUUAUCUAACUAGCUAAAUUAAUAACUCUGUUAUUUAUCUAACUAGUAUCUUUAGCUAUGUAACUAAUUACCAACAACUUAAUGGCUUAAAGCAAACAUUUAUUAUCUUAUAGUUCCUAUGGAUCAGGAAUUUGGUGACAACUGAGCUGAGUGGUUGUCAGUCUCCUAUGAGGCUGUGGUUCAGCUGUGGGCUGGGGAUGCUGCUUUGAAGACCUAACCAGGGCUGAGGCGCUACUUCCAAGAGACUCCAUUCACAUAGCUGCUGGUGGGAGGCUUCCUUCUUCACCACGCAGACACCUCGAGCUUCUUUAGGACAGGGCAGCUGGCUUCCCCCAGAACAGGUGAUUCAAGAGCAGAUAAGCAAAGCCUGAGUGUCUUUUGUGACGUAGCCUCAGGAGUCAUAACUGUCAUUUCUGCAAUAUCCUGUUGAUUACACAGGAUAGGUCAGUCCUAUUCACUGUGGGAGGUGAUUACAGAAGGGCAUGGGAAUACCAGGAGAUCAGGAUCACUGGAGGCUGACUAUUUACCACAGGGUUCCACAAGGUUGAUAACCUGAAAACUUAACUUUUAUCGCUGCUUCCCUGCUCAAAGAGACCCAGAGCCUUCCCAUGUACUACAGCACACAAUCUGAUUUUCUUAGCUCCAUCUCCCACUGGCUCCUGAGUGGAUGGACUGUCUGGGACUGACAGCCUGGUCUGCUAAUGGACCUCACCAGUCCCACAGCUGAGGCUCUUGUUGAUACCUCCCCUCCCAUCCUCUGUUCUGUGGGAAGGCCUGGCUCCCUGGGAAGCCUCCAUUCAGCAUUCAAAGCAUAGUUAGCCAGGAUCUGGCUGGAUGCUAGGAUAUGAUGGUGAUAUCACCUUCUCUCAGGGAACUUUCACUCAGAUAGAGAGGUAGUUACCAGCGAAUUAAUAAUAAACAAAUCACACAUCAUGCCAAGUUCUCCCAGGGAAACCUACAGGGUACCAUGGGAUUAUAUAAUAGGGGACUGGCCUAGUCCAUGAGCACUGGAGCAGUCAAGUAGCCAACCAGGCUGCAUAGGAGUAUCAGCAUUGGGUUUAGUGUUAAGUGUCUGAAAAUGCAAAAUAACAAUAGCUUAAGUAAGACAGAUGUUUAUUUCUCUUGGGCAGGUGUUUGAGGUGCCACUCAGAGACAGGAACUCAGGUUCUUUCUGUCUCGUUGCUCUGCUCUGUAUGGCCUCUAUCUUAUGGUCCAGGAUGAUGACACCUACAAUCCUGGCAGCCAAAUGGAGAAAGGGACACAGAGGGUAAAGCAGACAUACCAACUAUCCCAGACUAUGGAAUGAGUGGAAAAGUGAAGGAGUCUGAUUGAGUUGUUUUCACAAGCAUUAAUGAAAGGAUUAAAUUGAUGUGUAUGAGUGCAACAGAAUCUGUUGUAAUUUCUCUUUAAAUAAAGCUGUCUUUGGGGAAAACGAGACACUUCCCUUCACUUUUCAAUGCCACCUCUAGCUACAAAGGAAGCUGGGAAAUGUAACUUUCUUUUUUUGUUUUGAGACGGUGUUUUGCUCUUACUGCCCAGGCUGGAGUGCAGUGGCACGAUCUUUACUCACUGCAAUCUCUGCCUCCCGGGUUCAAGCGAUCCUCCUGCCUCAGCCUUCCAAGUAGCUGGGUUUACAGACAUGUACCACCACACCCGGCUA